AUUGAACGCUGGCGGCAGGCCUAACACAUGCAAGUCGAGCGGAUGAAGGGAGCUUGCUCCUGGAUUCAGCGGCGGACGGGUGAGUAAUGCCUAGGAAUCUGCCUGGUAGUGGGGGAUAACGUCCGGAAACGGGCGCUAAUACCGCAUACGUCCUGAGGGAGAAAGUGGGGGAUCUUCGGACCUCACGCUAUCAGAUGAGCCUAGGUCGGAUUAGCUAGUUGGUGGGGUAAAGGCCUACCAAGGCGACGAUCCGUAACUGGUCUGAGAGGAUGAUCAGUCACCCUGGACCUGGGCCACGUUCCCGCCUCCUACGGGAGGCAGCAGUGGGGAAUUUUGCCCAAUGGGCGAAAGCCUGUUCCAGCCAUGCCGCGUGUGUGAAGAAGGUCUUCGGAUUGUAAAGCACUUUAAGUUGGGAGGAAGGGCAGUAAGUUAAUCCCUUGCUGUUUUGCCGUUACCAACAGAAUAAGCCCCGGCUACCUUCGU
This 483-nucleotide ribosomal RNA is filed under the name uncultured bacterium. Its description in RNAcentral is "partial 16S ribosomal RNA". It matches the Rfam family "Bacterial small subunit ribosomal RNA", at positions 30 to 506 of the family's 1533-position model. The record is from RNAcentral.